CAAUAGCGUAUAUUUAAGUUGUUGCAGUUAAAAAGCUCGUAGUUGGAUUUCGGAUGGGAUUUGCCGGUCCGUCGUUACGAUGUGCACUGGCCAGUCCUAUCUUGUUGUCGGGGACUAGCUCCUUGGAUUCACUUCCUGGGACUAGGAGCUGACGAGGUUACUUUGAGUAAAUUAGAGUGUUCAAAGCAAGCCUACGCUCUGAAUACAUUAGCAUGGAAUAACACGAUAGGACUCUGGCUUAUCUUGUUGGUCUGUGAGACCAGAGUAAUGAUUAAGAGGGACAGUCGGGGACAUUCGUAUUUCAUUGUCAGAGGUGAAAUUCUUGGAUUUAUGAAAGACGAACUUCUGCGAAAGCAUUUGGCAAGGAUGUUUUCAUUAA
RNAcentral lists this ribosomal RNA (379 nucleotides) under uncultured eukaryote. Its description in RNAcentral is "partial 18S ribosomal RNA". It matches the Rfam family "Eukaryotic small subunit ribosomal RNA", at positions 592 to 976 of the family's 1831-position model. The record is from RNAcentral.